UACGUAGGGGGCUAGCGUUGUCCGGAUUUAUUGGGCGUAAAGAGCGUGUAGGCGGCCAGGUAGGUCUGCUGUGAAAACUCGAGGCUCAACCUCGAGACGUCGGCGGAAACCAUCUGGCUAGAGUCCGGAAGAGGAGAGUGGAAUUCCUGGUGUAGCGGUGAAAUGCGUAGAUAUCGGGAGGAACACCAGUGGCGAAGGCGACUACCUGGCCUGUUCUUGACGCUGAGGCGCGAAAGCUAGGGGAGCAAACGGG
This 253-nucleotide ribosomal RNA is filed under the name uncultured bacterium. RNAcentral's name for it is "partial 16S ribosomal RNA". It matches the Rfam family "Bacterial small subunit ribosomal RNA", at positions 524 to 776 of the family's 1533-position model. The record is from RNAcentral.